CCACUUUACUUUGUGGCAUCAUGAGGUAACCAGCAGCUUAAACCAGGCACAGUGACUUGGAGAAACAAUCUAUUUUAAAUCCUUGUUCAUCCAUUUUACUUUGGUCCAUUUCUACAUGUGAAUGAGUAAAGUAAAAAUGGUUUGUACCAGAAUAACUUCGAUUAUUGAAGCAGUGCACAGCCGAAGGAGAGGGGACAAUCUCAAAGCACCUGGCCAAACACAGAAACAAGAGAUGCGACUGCCAACAUGUAGCAGGGCCAACAUCUACCAGGCAUAUAGUUUCAAGUCACCUCAGCCAUUUACAGUGUGUGUGUUUGGCCCAGAUGGGGCCCCUAGCCGUUUUCCCAAUAACAUUUCUAGACCGGGAGAAUUUGCAGACUGGGUUCUGGCCCCUUGUCCUCAUGCUCUUUUUGUUUUAAUCUGGAUUUCAAGCCACAAUAUGAGGGAAGUGGUUGGGUAGAGGUCUAGUAACCCAGCACUCGGAAUCUGGCAACAUGGGUUUGAAACUCACCGUAGCAGAUGGAGCAAUUUGAAUUUAAUACAAAUGUGGUCUGUUACCUCUACCAAUUGUCAUAAAAUCCCAUCUGAUUCACUUAUGCCCUUUAGGGAGGAAAUUGCCAUCCUUGCUGGCCUACAUACCCUUUAACUUUGUGCUUGACUCUUAACUGCCCUUUGGUCAACUAGGAAUGAGUAAUCGUGGUGUAGCCAGCAAUGCCUGCAUCCUAUGAACAAAUAUGAAAGUUUUCACUUUCAGUGAAAUAUUGGUUCAAUAGGACUGACCUUAUCUGGAUUUGGGGGGUCAUUUAGCUCAGUUGGCUGGACAUCUGGUUUGAGAUCCAGCAUGAUCUCAAUUUCGCUCCUUGCCGGAGUUAAAUUCUGUAAAGUCCUGAAGUAGGGAAAUUGGAAGAUCUGAGAUUGAUUCUGUUGUACUGCUACUUCCCUAGUGAGACCUGGCGUUUUGAGUCCAACAUGGCUAUGCUUUGGAACUCAGUUUAAUUCCUGAAGAGUUGUCUUAGACUCGAAACAUAACCUUCUGACUUUCUCCACUUUGUUUUUAUUUCAGCUGUCCAGGAUCCACAGUAUUUUGUUUCUUCUCCCUUUAUAGGUGUUAUCUUCUGCAAUGACUCAGUUGCACCCCCUCUGAGUCAAAAGGUUGUUUGUUCAAGUCCUACUGCAGAGCCCAUGCUGGUAGGGCUGUCACUUGGAGAAGUCUAACAGUAAGAGUAUGUGAGCAGUCCAGUAAAUUGGGAGAACUGCAAUCUAUCCUUCCAGUCUAUCUGCAGUCUCGCCACCAGAUGGCAACGAGAUGCAUUUGGGAGAAAAAGCACUGGCUGCUUUCUCAUAUCUGCUUCUAUUACUGCCCCUCUAUUUUCACAUUGUUACUCCUUCCCCAGCCUCUUUGCUGUUGCCUGUGUGCUCCCUGUCUCCUCCCAUCCACUCUGUUCUUCCCAUCUUUCCUACCUUGCACCCUAUUUCUUCAGGUGCCCACCCCUACACCCACACUUCAGAGGAACGAAGAGUUUGGGCAGAGGUGACUGCAUUACUGAAGAAAAUUAAAGAUGAGGCAGUGCAAGUUAAGACUGAGAGGAGAGUUGUCGCCGUCUUCAUAUAAAGGAACUGAGACAUUUUGAUAACUAACUUUCUUCUCUCUUUAACCUAGGUGUUUUGGGGGUUGGACAAGAAGUUGGCACAGCGCAAGCACUUUCCCUCAGUCAACUGGUUGAUCAGUUACAGUAAGUACACCCGUGCUCUGGAUGAAUACUAUGACAAGCACUUCACUGAAUUUGUGCCAUUGAGGACCAAAGCUAAAGAGAUCCUGCAGGAAGAGGAGGACCUAGCAGAAAUUGUCCAGCUUGUUGGAAAAGCAUCCCUGGCAGAGACUGACAAAAUAACUUUGGAGGUGGCAAAAUUGAUCAAGGAUGAUUUCUUGCAGCAGAAUGGAUAUACACCAUAUGACCGAUUUUGCCCAUUCUACAAAACUGUCGGUAUGCUGUCAAAUAUGAUUGGUUUCUAUGAUAUGGCUCGUCAUGCUGUCGAGUCAACUGCUCAAAGCGAUAACAAGAUUACAUGGUCGAUUAUCCGUGAACACAUGGGCGAGAUACUGUACAAGCUGAGUUCCAUGAAAUUCAAGGACCCAGUGAAGGAUGGAGAGGCAAAAAUCAAAGCAGACUACUUGCAACUCUUUGAAGACAUGCAGACUGCAUUCCGUUCUCUAGAAGACUAAAACUAGUCGUUUCUGAGAAACUACAAAACAAAACCCAGUUUGCCCAGUAUUUAUAGCUUUUUUUUUUGCUUUUAGUUUUCUCACAUUCCUUUUCUACAUAUAACGUCUUAACUGUUUUGAUGUAUUUGAUGUACAGUCAUUGGCUCACCAUUCCAACAAAGUUUGAUAAGUCUAGUUUAUUUGGAAUGUCUUUCUAGAAGUGUGGGAUCUACUUAGCAGUCAUGAAAACAAAUGUCAGUAUUGUGUCUCUGCCAUAACUGGUAUUGUACACCCUUAGUUUUCUGCCACUAACAGGUCAAGUUCAUUUUUAAACCACUGCAGAAACAAAUGUGACCACCUUGCUUUAUUUUUUUAAAUGUAAGUCAAUGGCAAAUACGCAUUAAGGUGUCCAUGUGUAUAUUGACGUCUGUAUAUAUUAAUUAUAGCUACCUGCACUAUUGUAAUCAUUUAAGCUUUAGCCUUAUCCUUGGAUUCUCAUCAACUGAAUCCAAAGCAUUCGGAAGGAAUUCUGUUCUGGCAUGAAAUAUGGUGUCAAGUUUGAAAUGAUUUUUGGUAUGUGAAGAAACUCUCAUGACUUUGCCAGAGCACAGCUACCAUGGGGAAAGGGGGGUUGCAACAAUACACACUCCAGUCUUAACAGUAUCGCCAGCACUGGUGCUGAUGGACACUGAUGACAUGCAUGCAAACUUUAGCUUAGAAGUUUUGGUUAACAUUGUUAGGUUUUUCAUUAGUGUAGAAUAGAGCUGAAGCAAUCCUUGCAAUACCAGCUGCAAACUUUGCAACAAAGCCAGGAAUAUUUUGUCCCACAUUAGCUAAAGGCUGUGGGGUAUGGGUGAAGCAAGCUUUUGCACAGUUGUGCACAAAGCUCUUGAUUUGGCUUUCUGUCCUAGCCCUGCCCACAUCUUGAAAUCUCUGUUUUGAUGUGGGUGUAAAACUCAGACUAACUGCUUUCUAAAAAUUUUCUAAACUUGGAUCCUUUGGAAAGUUUGCAGUAGAAAGCAAGUACGUUCAUCUAUAUGAAGUCAGUGAGCCAAAGUCAUGGCUGUCAUUGUAGAGGAAAGCCAACCUGUGAUUUUAAAGGAUUGGUAUAUGAGUUUGUAAUAAGUUUGCUUUUGUUGGAAACUGAUUCCAGACCAGGUGGUUUGUGCAGAAGGGGGAAAUUCAGAAUGCCAUCUGUGCUGGGUACUGCACCAGAUUGGGAUUGCAGUGUACGAACCCAAGUCACUUUAAAAAGUACAGUUGGUUGGAAAUGUGCUUAACAUCCAUUUUAGUUUUGCCUUCCUGCUUUAAAAAAUAGUUAAGAUGUGAAAAGUUAUGUAGAGAUUAAUGAUCUGGGCAGACAAACUGAAACAAUGAAGUGACGGGAAAACUGUCGCAGUGAGGAAGAAUGUAAUGGAACUAAGGUUAUAAAUGAGGAAAAUGUUCAUGAGAGAUUUAAAAUCCAGAAAGAUGGGUCGGGGGAGAGGGUUUGAAAUAAUCAGAAGCUUUACAUGGUAUGGGGUACCUGGCAGUGUUACCAGUUCAAACACUGGGUGAGUGAUGUUUCAACAGGUUUUUUUAAUACCUGUUUUGGCCUCUAUCUUUGUGCAGCUGCCAAGAGCAUGUCUCCAAUCCUUACCCCAAAAGUUGACAUUUUCUCUUCCCCAAAUCAAUUCUGCUUCGUGAAGUGUGAUUGCUGUGUUCCAGGCACAUGGCAUUGUGGGAUAUCAAUGACCUCGCUUGUCUAUUCGUAUUUUUGCAGGAUCUCCAGUCCUGUUACGGGAUAUUUCAUUAACUGGCCCAAGUUGCCUUCCAGGAGUUUAGAUUGCCUAGUUUGCACUACUAGUUUGUCUAAUGUGAGUUCACCGAUUUAGCUGCUGUCAGAAAUGUGUAUAAAGUUAAAAUCUUAAUUGCAUUACUAUUUUAGUUAGCUGUGAUUUAAAAUAUUGAGCGUGUGUAAUUAAAAUUUUUCAGUUCCCAUGGGGGUGCAACUGUUGACCCUGGAUGGUAAUGGAUUGCUUAGCUUUACAACUUAUUUCAUAUUCCAUUUGGCUCAUUUCUUUUUUAAACUUCUCAUUAUGCUGCCCAUAAUGUGGUUAUGAUUGUUGGUGGGAAUAUGCUAGAGGAGAUUGGGUGAAAUUUUUAAAUAUGAAGCAGUAGUCUCUAGGAAAAACCAGAAUAUAACAAAGCCAUGUCCAGUACAGUUCCUGGAUCAAGGAAAGUACAGUUUAGUUUCGAUUUGAAAAUAUUCACUAAUGCUUAAUAGUGCAUUAAUAUAGUGUUAAUGUUUAGUACAUUUUAGAAUGUAUUUAACCUUUUUGAAAUCUCAUUUUCCUACACUAAGCGUAGAAGGCUUACUAUCAUAAUUAUUUGCAUCUUCUAUGCUUAAGGCCAUGGCAAUGCACUAAGACUUGUCCCAGUUAAAUAAAUUAUCAAACCUAAUUUAGGGCGUUGUUGUAAAUCUGUUGGGUUUAUCCAUGUUUGACAUUUCUAAAUUCUUUGGUAUUCAUUCUGAUUGUGACUAUUUUGAGCUGGCAAUUAUAGAUUAAAGCAAGCUGGUUUUUCCCCUUGAACCAACUUUAAAAUACAGGUAUUGCACAAUUUAGUACUUGUGAAAAUUGGAAAGUAGUCUACAUUAUUUUUGAUUAAACUUCAUUGGAGGAGUCUGACCAUGUUCAGUUUGUCAGAUGCAGUAAUUUACUUAACUAGCUUUAAACCACAAAUAUACAUAGUCCAUUUUGACUGAGAAAUAGCAAAGGCAAUGUUUAAUUCUGUUUUGUAAAUUAUUUUGAAUUUGAUCCUUAGCACUUUCAAACAGCGUUUCAUCCCAAAAAUAAAAGAUUGUUUGAAAUUAUUCAAAUGUCUGAAAAUUAUUCAAAGAAAGCAAGGCAAUGGAAAUCUGCCUGGUCUCUGCUUACCAGUGCCUGGAAUGUUACAGCUUUAACAAAAAAAACAAGCAUCUUGAGAUAUGACGAUCUGCAGCAAAUGAAAAACAUUCUACACAUCUGGAACGUGUUCGAUGGUUUCUUCAAAUAACAGUUUCAUAUGCAGUAAAUGUGUGUAAUUCUGCUUCCAGCUCUGUGGAAAUGGGCAUUCCCUCUGAUCAAAUUCAUGUUAAAAGCCUUGUAAUGCAGCAAUUUACAAUGAACUGUGGGUGUAAUUAUCUUGCUGUAAAAGGUAUUGGAAUAUAUUGGGAAUUAAAGUAGGGAUGCAACUGUACAUUGUGAUUAAUGUAAGGCAAUAAUUCAAGUUGUAUUUUUCCAGUUUUGAUGGUAAAUUUCACUUUUCGGUAAAUGAUUUGUGUGCACAAAUGGUUACAGUUUUCAUAUUUGUUCAGUCAUUGUGCAAAUUAUAAAAAUAACUAAUAAAGUUGCAGUGAUGUCCAGUGA
Long non-coding RNA from Rhincodon typus (whale shark), 5592 nucleotides. RefSeq lists it as uncharacterized. Lineage: Eukaryota; Metazoa; Chordata; Chondrichthyes; Orectolobiformes; Rhincodontidae. The transcript is spliced from 4 exons. The record is from RefSeq and is a predicted model, not a curated record.